RNAcentral lists this long non-coding RNA (467 nucleotides) under Homo sapiens (human). Its description in RNAcentral is "HSALNT0386294". The record is from RNAcentral. Lineage: Eukaryota; Metazoa; Chordata; Mammalia; Primates; Hominidae.
GUAGAUCUACCAGGUGCAGGGAAGCACUCCACACCCUCACCCAGGUCCUGUAUCCCUGCAAGACUGCGUUGGAAAGACUGAAGAGAGGCGGAGUUUCACCAUGUUGGCCAGGCUGGUCUUGAACUCCUGACCUCAGGUGAUCCACCCGCCUCAGCCUUUCAAAGUGCUGGGCAGGCGUGAGCCACGACGCCUGGCUGAUGAUAAUCUUUACUCAUAAUAUUAUGAAGCAAAUAUAUGUUAUUCAUAUAUCGUUUUACUAUAAAUAUUUUGGUUAACUUUUGAAUUUAUGCUAGUCUAUCAUAAAUCUUCAACUAACUGUGUUAUUUAAAGGAUACACACAGUAAUAUUCUUGAUCCAAAGGGGGAGAAAUGAUUUUAUUUUGUUAUGUUUUAGUCUUUAUGUUUGUUUUAACUCUUCUUUCUGACCACAUUAUGUACUUUUAAAAAAUAAAGAUUCUAGCAACAUUA